GAGGGUAUGGCUCAAGUGGUAGAGUGCAGGUCUAGCAUGCAUAAUGUCCUGGGUUCAUCUCCCAGUACCUCCA
RNAcentral lists this transfer RNA (73 nucleotides) under Camelus ferus (Wild Bactrian camel). It matches the Rfam family "tRNA". Rfam says of the family: Transfer RNA (tRNA) molecules are approximately 80 nucleotides in length. Their secondary structure includes four short double-helical elements and three loops (D, anti-codon, and T loops). The record is from Rfam by way of RNAcentral. Lineage: Eukaryota; Metazoa; Chordata; Mammalia; Artiodactyla; Camelidae.